GAUGAACGCUGGCGGCGUGCCUAAUACAUGCAAGUCGAGCGAACGGACGAGAAGCUUGCUUCUCUGAUGUUAGCGGCGGACGGGUGAGUAACACGUGGAUAACCUACCUAUAAGACUGGGAUAACUUCGGGAAACCGGAGCUAAUACCGGAUAAUAUUUUGAACCGCAUGGUUCAAAAGUGAAAGACGGUCUUGCUGUCACUUAUAGAUGGAUCCGCGCUGCAUUAGCUAGUUGGUAAGGUAACGGCUUACCAAGGCAACGAUGCAUAGCCGACCUGAGAGGGUGAUCGGCCACACUGGAACUGAGAAACGGUCCAGACUCCUACGGGAGGCAGCAGUAGGGAAUCUUCCGCAAUGGGCGAAAGCCUGACGGAGCAACGCCGCGUGAGCGAUGAAGGUCUUCGGAUCGUAAAACUCUGUUAUUAGGGAAGAACAGAUGUGUAAGUAACUGUGCACAUCUUGACGGUACCUAAUCAGAAAGCCACGGCUAACUACGUG
Molecule: ribosomal RNA, 497 nt
Filed under: uncultured bacterium
Lineage: Bacteria
Description: partial 16S ribosomal RNA
Rfam family: Bacterial small subunit ribosomal RNA
Source: RNAcentral